UACGUAGGGUGCAAGCGUUAAUCGGAAUUACUGGGCGUAAAGCGUGCGCAGGCGGUUUUGUAAGUCUGUCGUGAAAGCCCCGGGCUCAACCUGGGAAUUGCGAUGGAGACUGCAAAGCUUGAAUCUGGCAGAGGGGGGUAGAAUUCCACGUGUAGCAGUGAAAUGCGUAGAGAUGUGGAGGAACACCGAUGGCGAAGGCAGCCCCCUGGGUCAAGAUUGACGCUCAUGCACGAAGCGUGGGGAGCAAACAGG
This 252-nucleotide ribosomal RNA is filed under the name uncultured bacterium. RNAcentral's name for it is "partial 16S ribosomal RNA". It matches the Rfam family "Bacterial small subunit ribosomal RNA", at positions 524 to 776 of the family's 1533-position model. The record is from RNAcentral.